This 301-nucleotide ribosomal RNA is filed under the name uncultured bacterium. RNAcentral's name for it is "partial 16S ribosomal RNA". It matches the Rfam family "Bacterial small subunit ribosomal RNA", at positions 509 to 808 of the family's 1533-position model. The record is from RNAcentral.
CAGCAGCCGCGGUAAAACGAAGGGUGCAAGCGUUAAUCGGAAUUACUGGGCGUAAAGCGUGCGUAGGCGGUGAGUUAAGUCUGCUGUGAAAUCCCCGGGCUCAACCUGGGAAUGGCAGUGGAUACUGGCUCGCUAGAGUGUGUCAGAGGAUGGUGGAAUUCCCGGUGUAGCGGUGAAAUGCGUAGAGAUCGGAAGGAACAUCAGUGGCGAAGGCGGCCAUCUGGGACAACACUGACGCUGAGGCACGAAAGCGUGGGGAGCAAACAGGAUUAGAUACCCCCUAGUCCCUGUCUCUUAUACA